RNAcentral lists this long non-coding RNA (242 nucleotides) under Ornithorhynchus anatinus (platypus). Its description in RNAcentral is "lncRNA (ENSOANG00000038434.1)". Lineage: Eukaryota; Metazoa; Chordata; Mammalia; Monotremata; Ornithorhynchidae. The record is from RNAcentral.
GCAAGUUUGUGUGUCUUCUGCCCCCUGGGUUUUUACUUUUUUUUUUUUCUUUUUCAAGAUUUAGGAUUUCUGAAGCUCCUUUCUUCUCAAGAGCCCGGGGGCCUUGCCUAGGAUUUCACCAUGCAUUGAGGGAAGGUGCUUGGUACAGUGUUAUGCGCAUAGUCGGCACUCAAAAAAUAUCACUGAUUGAUGGAUUGAAAGGACCCAGGAAGCAGCAUGGCUAAGUGGAAAGAGCAUGGGAU